CUACGGGAGGCAGCAGUGAGGAAUAUUGGUCAAUGGGCGUAAGCCUGAACCAGCCAAGUAGCGUGAAGGAUGACUGCCCUCUGGGUUGUAAACUUCUUUUAUAGGGGAAUAAAGUGCAUCACGUGUGGUGUUUUGUAUGUACCCUACGAAUAAGGACCGGCUAACUCCGUGCCAGCAGCCGCGGUAAUACGGAGGGUCCGAGCGUUAUCCGGAUUUAUUGGGUUUAAAGGGUGCGCAGGCGGGAUGUUAAGUCAGUUGUGAAAGUUGGACGCUCAACGUUCAAAUUGCAAUUGAAACUGGCAUUCUUGAGUGCAGUGGAGGUAAGCGGAAUUCGUGGUGUAGCGGUGAAAUGCUUAGAUAUCACGAAGAACUCCGAUUGCGAAGGCAGCUUGCUAUACUGCAACUGACGCUCAUGCACGAAGGUGUGGGUAUCAAACAGGAUUAGAUACCCGAGUAGUC
RNAcentral lists this ribosomal RNA (459 nucleotides) under uncultured bacterium. RNAcentral describes it as "partial 16S ribosomal RNA". It matches the Rfam family "Bacterial small subunit ribosomal RNA", at positions 339 to 795 of the family's 1533-position model. The record is from RNAcentral.